GCUCCGGUGGCCUAGUGGUUAGAGCGUCUGACUAGAAUGUGGGAAGUCGUGGGUUCAAACCCCAGCCGAGUCA
Molecule: non-coding RNA, 73 nt
Organism: Potamilus streckersoni
Lineage: Eukaryota; Metazoa; Mollusca; Bivalvia; Unionida; Unionidae
Source: the annotation of a GenBank genome assembly